Molecule: long non-coding RNA, 250 nt
Filed under: Lathyrus oleraceus (garden pea)
Lineage: Eukaryota; Viridiplantae; Streptophyta; Magnoliopsida; Fabales; Fabaceae
Description: Pisum sativum (pea) long non-coding RNA (PSAT_LNC012295)
Source: RNAcentral
AGGAACUUGACGUUUACCGACAUCGAACAAUGAUGUUUACCGACACCAAAGAAAGGACACACGACCAGACAUUUACCGAUGACUGGGAAGGAACUCGACGUUUACCGACAUCGAACAAUGAUGUUUACCGACACCAAAGAAAGGACACACGACCAGACAUUUACCGAUGACUGGGAAGGAACUCAACGUUUACCGACAUCGAACAAUGAUGUUUACCGACACCAAAGAAAACAGACAUCACGGGGAUCGA